This 358-nucleotide transfer RNA is filed under the name uncultured Microcystis sp. RNAcentral describes it as "partial 16S-23S ribosomal RNA intergenic spacer". The stretch from base 133 to 206 matches the Rfam family "tRNA". Lineage: Bacteria; Bacillati; Cyanobacteriota; Cyanophyceae; Chroococcales; Microcystaceae. The record is from RNAcentral.
AAGGGAGACCUAAUUCGGGUAGGAGACGAAAAAAAAGUAGUCCCUACCAAGAAUCAAUCCCAAAAGGUCGGAACGAGGUAUGAGGCUUUCAAACUAGGUUCUGGGUUCAUAAAAGACCUGAAUCAGGAACAAGGGCUAUUAGCUCAGGUGGUUAGAGCGCACCCCUGAUAAGGGUGAGGUCCCUGGUUCGAGUCCAGGAUGGCCCACCUGCACAGGUGGCAAAAACAAGAGAAGCGAGGAAUCAGCACCUUAUCUUAUAUACAUAUAUAAGAGAGAAUGCUGGCUCUGAGUACAGAGUCCAGAGGAACCUUGAAAACUGCAUAGAGCUAGGUGAAAAAGCCAAAAAAGAAGACCGCAA